Long non-coding RNA from Thrips palmi, 2283 nucleotides. RefSeq lists it as uncharacterized. The record is from RefSeq and is a predicted model, not a curated record. Lineage: Eukaryota; Metazoa; Arthropoda; Insecta; Thysanoptera; Thripidae. The transcript is spliced from 2 exons.
AGUCCGGGCCCGUGCAGGCCGCGUCCGUGCCGCAGCAGGCGUCGGUGGACUCGGCGCGAGGACUGCCAGAGUCGCCGACCAAGGGCGCGCGCUGGCACCGCCGGGCGCGGGGCUUCUUCGUACGCGCCCUCGCCAUCCUCUGCUUCCGCCAACGCCGCGGCACCGCGUCCACCGCCAACCUGGUGCUCGCCGCCGCCCGCCCGCAGACCGCCUAGUCGGGCCCGCCGCCUACUCUCCUCGCCACCCUGCCGGCCUCCAGCGGCGCAGCCUGCCCCGUGGGGCCGUGGGCCGUGGGGCCGUGGGCCGUGGGGCUGUGGUGUGGGGCCCAGCCAGACCAGCCACCGCGUCGUGCCUGCUGGUCUUGAUUUCCGGUGGGAAAUGGGUCUGCCGGAGUGUGGCUGCGAAAACCUGCUGAGUCCUUCCCGGAUUCCCGGCCGAGCUCGGCUCUCGGCCAAGGCAGCCCAGGCGCGUCGGUGCGGACCGGCCACCGGCACGGACCUCGUCAACUUCGUGGAGGCCGCGCCGCUGGACGUCGCCAAGCGUUGCCACUGCCGCGUUGCCGCUGCGUGCACAACCCUCCUCGGUCCCGAGAUACUGGCGCGGUGCACGGCCUGAAGCGGCAAUGCUACAAACUGGCUUUGUGGCGGAAAGAAAAAGAAAUUAGUUCAAGGCGGAGUUGUGAGGUUUCGCUUGACUUGGAGUUCGGGGGACUUUUCCCGAGCGAGGUAGAACGAAUGCGGAAGCAUCGAGCCAGUAUUGGCAGGCAAUCAAAAUUAACUCCCCUCCCUCUAGACAUGUGACCUGGAAGUUUGCGGAUAGAUUAUAAUGAGUGUAUUUAUUAUCGAAUAAAUUACCCUUGUGUGAAUAGAUGUGAACCCGAAGAUGUUUUGAGGACUUAUUCCUUUCCUCUAUAGAAAUGUGUGUCGCUAUUAUUGAGAUCUUCUAGAGAACUACUAUUCUCUCUUUGACAUUUAUCUGCUUUGACAAUUUCUUUCCGGGGCCCUCUGUGUGUAGACAUGAUUUCUGUAUCUAUUGUGCCUUUAAUCCGAAAAAUGUAUGUCCUUAAAUGUUAUUUUGUCCCCCCCCCCUUUCCCUUACAAACUGAACCCAACCCCCUCCACUCAGAGAUCGUCAUAAUCAAUGCAUCUCAAUCCUUCCUCUGGCACCUCUUUGUUAAAUGAAUAGGUGUCGUUGCUCUCGGACGAAUUCAUCCGGCCAAUAAAUCUUCUUUCCCUCGCAGAUCUGACGUAGUUUUAAGGGAAUUUCAUAAAUGACGCCCCCUCCCCCUUUUCUCUCUCCUCCGCCACGCCCCCUUCCCCACCUUUCUGCUCCAUUUCCGCCUCGGGAGGCGACUCACCCCUUUCAGAGGAGUGCUCGCUGGCGGGGCUGGCCCGCCGAAUGAUGGCGCCAUCUAUCUCGCCAGUGCGGCGAGGAUAAGGAUGGCGAGGAUAGCAGGUGGAGGGAGAGGGGGGCAACGGGUAUCGAUGUUGCCGCUGACUGCCCAUCAACGACUGCGGGCGGAGCUUUAGCACAAAGCGGGAAAAAGUGAUGUCAAGAAAUAGAAAAAAAUCGAAAUGCCGAGUUUGAAGAGGGGGUAGAACAACUUAACGUAUAUUUUCCAAACCAAUCCUGCUAGGUCAAAAUGUCAGUAACGAAACCGAGAAGCCAACGUCGGAGUUUAAACUAAGAUUUUUGAAAAAAUUCCCCUUGAUAUUUAUUUUUUUAUAAAAUGUGAGCUUCUUUGUCAUUUACAAACGGUGUGGUACGCAUCUCAUGUCCAUUCCCAUGUGUUCAUGUUUUGUUCCUCCUGUAGAAAGUCUGGUUUGUUUCUAUUCUUCGGAGUGGAGUAAAUUAAAUGUUUCCAAGUCUGUCUCAUAUUUUCUUUGAAUACAACUAUUGGUGCCUCUUUCUGUAAUACUUCCUUUAGUCCCGUUUGUGAUUUAAAAAAAUAUUAGGAACAAAAUGAGAAUAUGGGUUAAUUGUACUUAAACUAAUGCCUUUCUCAGCUUGUCUCUCUAUGCGGUGCAAUAUUUUCAUGUGAUGUGUGUAUGGACCUUACUCCUCAUAAGAUUGACCAAUAAGGAAAGUAAAUAAGUAAUAAAAUCAUGGGAAUAAAAUUCAUGGGAAAAGAUACCUUAUUCAAAAUCAAAAUAAUUGUAAAUUUUAGUGACUGUUCUGUGUGUCUGUGUUGUAGAAAAGUGUACUUUUGGAACAUUCCACUCUAUGUAUGUGUGUUAAAUAAAAAUGUAUAAAAAUCGAGAUAAAAAUAGUGUUUGAAGCCUU